CUCCUACCAGUACAUAUAAAGAUGAUUCACCACCUUCAUUAGAUGUUUAAAGUGUUCAAGUUUCUUAAUCAAUUCAGCACGAAAUUAGGCAUAAUGGCAGUGAGUUCAACUGGACACAAGAAGUCAUCACUCUUCUCAUUCUUAAAAGGUCACUAUUUUUAUGUGCCAAUCUAAUGUUUAUAUUAAAAGCCGAUGAUACCACCAAUUCACAUAGGAUAUGAUAAGAUGGGAUAAGAUAUGAUUGCUUCACUGAGUCACAAAGUAGUGAUACUUCUUUCAUGUUUCACACCCACACCUCUAGAUUUGAUAGUUGAAUGUUGCAAAUUAGAUCGAGAUAUUGACAAGUUAUGGAAGGCUCCCCAGCACAAGGAUGUUGUGGCCUGUGUUAACCCGUGCUCUCAAUAUUCACGUCAUACAAAGUUGCGUGGUUACUUGCUUGUACACACAAAUGGUGAGCUCAAUCAAAUGAGAGAUGGGAAUUAAAUGGAGAGCCUCUAUGCGAUAAUGGCCCCAAACUCGCAAACGAGUUUGUGGUAAUAGUAAGUCCUAUAGAAGCACUCAGGUACAAGUAUUGGAGUGAAACACAAGUCCUCGAUAUAGAUUCCUUGAUUGACAGGAAGGAGUUCAUCUAGACAGUACUCUACCAAUGUUAAAGAAGUUCUUGGAGGAAUUUAUAGGAUAAAAUCAAUGAGUUGUUGCAAAGGGAGCUACACCACCCACUAAGGCAGAAAUAUGUGCUGAAGUUUGAAGAGAAAGCGAAGAUGAUGACGUACUAUAGCCACUGUUAAUUAUGACGAUGAAGCACUUCAUGGUAUGAUACAAAAACAUGCUGACAGAAUUCAAGAUACACGCGCAGAAUGAGAUGAUCAAGAAAUUACAAGAAAAUGAAAGAUUCACUCUAAGCAUGAUCCGUGAACAAAAAAAUCUGAUGCGUAGAAGUGGUCCAAGCGACAUUAGCUCUGAUAGAACAACAGAAAACCUAAUGCAAGAGCAACAGUAAAAUUUUCACUUGUCAAAUGUUUUAGA
Molecule: RNA transcript, 1026 nt
Organism: Papaver somniferum (opium poppy)
Lineage: Eukaryota; Viridiplantae; Streptophyta; Magnoliopsida; Ranunculales; Papaveraceae
Gene name: O-fucosyltransferase 7-like
Exons: 6
Source: RefSeq, a predicted model, not a curated record